Molecule: long non-coding RNA, 2241 nt
Filed under: Gossypium barbadense (sea-island cotton)
Lineage: Eukaryota; Viridiplantae; Streptophyta; Magnoliopsida; Malvales; Malvaceae
Description: long non-coding RNA (GBAR_LNC006891)
Source: RNAcentral
UAAAAUACUAAUCCAUGAUUAAAGUAUGCGUAAACCAUAAUUCAGCCCAAAACCGAACACAAACAAGAAAAUUAAGCCAUUUUCGCAUGGCUUAAUAUUACAUAAUCUAAAUUCGAGUAUUUCAUCUACGCUAUACAUGCCAUAAGAUCGAAUUCAAAAUUUACAAAAUACCGAGAGGAGUCGAUAGUGUGAUAAUCUUCUCUGACGAUCCCCGAGCUCGUAACCAACUUCCAAAAAUCUAUAAAACGAAGAACAACAUACACACAGUAAGCUAUUUAAAGCUUAGUAAGUCAUAAGCAAAAAUUCAUUUAUAUAUAUAUUAAUACUUAUUCCAUCAUUAAGUUAAAAUAAACCAAAUAUCAUAAUAUUUUGUACCAUAUAACACUUUAAUAAAAAUCACAUUGUAUUUUCAUAUAAACAAACCAUAUGGCCAAAUACACAUAAAUAUUUAGCAAAGCCGAAUAUUCAAUAAAUCAUUAUGCUAAAACAUGCUUAUACUCAAAUGAUUAACUCAUACUCUAUAUUUCAUUUGAAACUAUUAUCAAAUUAAAAUAAUCAACUUACCUCAUCAGCAAUUAAGCAAAUGGCUAACACAUACCUGAAUAAUUUAACUUUCUUAACACAUUUAUUUGCUUUUACUAUUGCUCAUAUAAAAUUUAUAAAACAUAGAGCCCUAUAUAAAACACCGGCAUAAAGCCUGCUAGGCACAAAGCCCGAUUCAUUUCACCGGCACAAAGCCUGCUAGACAUAAAGUCGGAAUUAAUUCACCGGCAUCAAGCCUGCUAGGCAUUAAGCCUGAAAUAAUCCACCGGCAUCAAGCCUGCUAGGCAUUAAGCCUGAAAUAAUCCACCGGCAUCAAGCCUGCUAGGCAUUAAGCCUGAAAUAAUCCACCGGCAUCAAGCCUGCUAGGCGUUAAGCCUGAAAUAAUCCACCGGCAUCAAGCCUGCUAGGCAUUAAGCCUGAAAUAAUCUCAUAUACAAAGAUGAUCUUUCGUAUAAUUCUUUAUGUUUACCUAAGUCUUACUCAAUAACCGUAUCUCCGUAAGAAUUGAAUUAUAUUCAAUUCUCCAUAGCAAACAAACAUUCGAACCACAUAUGUAUAAUUUACAACAUUAAAAUUCAGCUCAAAGAAUUUGUAACCUAUAUUCGAACCACAUAUGUAAGUAAAAUUCAUACAUUAAAUUCAGCUCAAGAACUUUGUAACCUAUAUUUGAACCACAUAUGUAUAUAAAAUUCAUACAUUAAAUACAGCUCAAGAACUUUAAAUAUAUAUAUUCGAACCAUAUGUGCAUAUAUAUAUAAUUCAUAAUAUUAAGUUCAACUCAAAGAAUCAAAGAACUUGUAUCAUACAUUCAAACUUUAUAUAUAUAAUUCAUAACUUUAAAUUCAACUCAAGAAAUUAAAUCUUACAUUCGAACUACAUAUCCAUGUACAUUCUACUAUUAGUUUCAUAUCAUUGAACUUAAAGCAUACUUUAGCUAAUAUACAUGUAAUUUAUACCAUUAAUAUCAACCUCCCAAAAUUAAUUUCUAUGUUCGGCUAUCACAUAGAAAAAUCACCAAGUUUUAUUCAAUUUAUAUACUUUUAGUUCCAGCUUACUAAAUGUAUGAUAGAUAUAUUUAUAUAAAUUCCAAUUUAAUAACAUUUAAAUUGCUAUUAGACUUACCUUGGAUGUCGUCGACUGUUAAAUCGGCUACUCGACCACUUUUGUAUUUCCCCGAUCCAAAUCCGAUUUCUUUAAUUCUUGAUCUAAGCAUAUUCAAAUUAAGUUUAUUUAAACAUCAUUCUAUUCAGUUUAACCUAAAAACACAUAAAUAGGCAAAUUACAAUUUUGCCCCUAACAUUUCACACUUUUUACAAUUUAGUCCUUUUUGCUCAAAACACAAAAUACACAAAAUUUGACUUCACUCCUUAAGGGCCGAAUAUUCCUAGUGUCCAUACAAGCCCACAUAUUUCAUUUAUUUCACAUUUUAGUCCCUCAAAAAUUUAUUUUUACAAUUAAACCCUAAUUACUCAAAUUCAUCAAAAACUCAAAGACACGACAUGUUAAUCUUUCACAUAUCUUUCAUAUUCCAUCAUCAACUAUCACAAAGCUCAAGCAUUCAUCAAUGGCAUUUCUCAAAAUCAUCAACAAUUCACAAAAUUAAGAUAUGGGUUUUGAAGUAUUCAAAGCAAUGAUCUCAAAAACGUAAAAAUUAUCAAAAACCAAACAAAAACCAACCUUGAAUUAAGCUUCAAAAUG